CGGGGGGAGCAAGCGUUGUUCGGAUUUACUGGGCGUAAAGGGCGCGUAGGCGGCCACAACAAGUCACUUGUGAAAUCUCCGGGCUUAACCCGGUAGCGGCCAAGUGAUACUGUUGGGCUAGAGUGCGGAAGGGGCAACUGGAAUUCUCGGUGUAGCGGUGAAAUGCGUAGAUAUCGAGAGGAACACCUGCGGCGAAGGCGGGUUGCUGGGCCGACACUGACGCUGAGGCGCGAAAGCUAGGGGGAGCGAACGGGAUUAGAUACCCCGGUAGUCCUAGCCUUAAACGAUGGAUGCUUGGUGUCUGGGGUGAUAAAGUCCCCGGGUGCCGUCGCUAACGCUUUUAGCAUCCCGCCUGGGGAGUACGGUCGCAAGACUG
Molecule: ribosomal RNA, 376 nt
Filed under: uncultured organism
Description: bacterial SSU rRNA
Rfam family: Bacterial small subunit ribosomal RNA
Source: RNAcentral